ACCUAAACUGAUACAUACUCCAGUUACCGAAGAUCCACUGUCUUUGCAAGUCUAUGUGGUAGGAAUGCAGAAAGAAAGAACUCAAAAGCAAUUUCCCAAAGAAGAUGGAACAUGAAAAGCAUUGAAAUAAUCUCAACAUCAUCUGUUGCUGUACUUUGUACUUUAGAACCUAGUAGGAACUCAAGUUUUUUGUCUAUUUGAUCUUCCUUGUGGGAUAAGAAUUUGAGGAAGGAGAUAUCUCUGCCUCAGGAUUGCUACAUUGAGAAUCACUCACAAGAGACCUCAACCAACAUAAAUCUCUUUGCAAUGAGCUCUAAUCCAGAGAAUGGAACUCUAUAACAAGCAUUAACUUUUAAUAGAUCAUGAAAGUUCUCCAGCCCAUCUGCAAAAAUGCUUCUGAAAAAGAAGCAUUAACCACAUAAUCAAUUUGUGGAACAGAGAGACGAUGAUGAGCUGAAGAGAAGAGAGAGAAGGAUUUUAUUUACUUAUUCAUGAGAGACCCAGAGAGGCAGAGACACAGGCAGUGGGAGAAGCAGGCUCCAUGCAGGAAGCCCAACGUGGGACACCAUCCUGGGACUCCAGGGUCACAACCUGGGCCGAAGGCAGGCACUAAACCACCGAGCCACCCAGGGUUCUCUAAUGAAACCCCUCUUGAUAGAUGUUUAGAUUGUUCCCCUUUUUCCCUUUUGUUUUGUUUUGCUUUA
This is a long non-coding RNA of Nyctereutes procyonoides (raccoon dog), 704 nucleotides long. RefSeq lists it as uncharacterized. The record is from RefSeq and is a predicted model, not a curated record. The transcript has 4 exons. Lineage: Eukaryota; Metazoa; Chordata; Mammalia; Carnivora; Canidae.